Molecule: long non-coding RNA, 2181 nt
Organism: Pollicipes pollicipes
Lineage: Eukaryota; Metazoa; Arthropoda; Thecostraca; Pollicipedomorpha; Pollicipedidae
Exons: 2
Source: RefSeq, a predicted model, not a curated record
GCCGCCAGCGGCCGGCCCGACUGGCCGCGCUGUGGUUCAUGUCUCUACGCCACGCGCCUCCCCGUCCUCCCGCUUCGCUUUGUUCGGCUUCUGGAGUCGCCGAGAUGCGCUGGACGCGCGCUGCGUGGGUCGUCCGUUUUACAGCAGCGCGUGGUGGACAGCUCGCAGCGUGGAGUGGCCUGUGUUGAUGAGCUGUAUGUGAAGGCACCACGGCGCGGUGCGGCAGCCAGACCUCGUUGGCCCAUGGGUUCCGGGCGUGCUGACGUUCGACACGUGUUCCGGAUAAGUUGGGAUCUCGGCGUUGGUCCAGAUCGCGUGCUCGCGGGCGGCGCCGUGCUUCGCCGGUAGGGAUAGUGGUGCGGCUCCGCGCCUUGCGUGGGGCUCACGCGCAGCGGCUCUCUCUCGCUUCGGGGACGCCCGGCGUCGACGCACUGACCGCACAUGGCGGCAGCGUCGAUCUGCUCUCGGCGGUGGUGGAGGUGGGGGAUGUCUGCCGCCCGGCGUCGACGCACUGACCGCACAUGGCGGCAGCGUCGAUCUACUCUCGGCGGUGGUGGAGGUGGGGGAUGUCUGCCGCCCGGCGUCGACGCACUGACCGCACAUGGCGGCAGCGUCGAUCUACUCUCGGCGGUGGUGGAGGUGGGGAAUGUUUGUCACCCGUGGCGACGUUUCGCGGUGUUCGGUGGGAGGGUGUGCGUGCGUGUGUCGUUGAUCACCUCCCGUGAGCGUCAGGACCUCUGCACUACUCCGUCCGCACACGCGUGGGGCCUGCGGCCGGUGCCCCUGCCGUCGGCGGUGCGUCUCUGCCGCCAGCGCUGCCGCGCCACGCUGUGAGGGCACGCUGGCGACGAGGCUGGUGUCGGCCGAGGCCUGGGCGCCGCGGCGGCAUUCGCCGGCUUUCGCGGGACGCACGUCUCAUUCUAGGCGGUGUUGGCGCCUGCCACUGAAAAUCGGAAUGCGUCGUGACACUUCCCGAGGCGGCAUGCCCACAUGCGCCGGCGCAUGGCGACCUUCUUUUUUGCCUCAACGGACCUAGAGUGACAUCUGAGGGGAAGUGAUGAUUGCGUCCUGCGGAAAUGCCAGACAAAGGAUGGCGUUAAACUGGCAUAUGUUGUUCGCCGCAAGCCAGGGAAGCGGUUACAUCAAUCUGGCCAAUUUUUGUCGAGAAAAAUCCAGUGCAAGUAACGGAAAACGGCCGCAACAGCAUAGUUAUUUCACCGCGAUGCAGCGCACAUUGCAUACACUUGGAUGACGACCGAGCCAACUCGCGCACGCUCUCGCCAGAUCGACCGGGUGCACCGAGUCCUGCGCGUGGUGUCCGUGACAGUGGUGGCCUUGGUUCAGCUGACAUGGCGACCGAAGCGAGGGAUCGAUGCCGGGCCGCUUCAUCGCGUCAUCGGAGACGAUGCCCCUCCCCCAGGCUCCGCUGCUGGGUACGCCCUUCUGUUGUGGUUGUGUGGUGUUGUUUAGGCAGGGAGAUCCUACAAGAAAAACCGGGACCUCUGUCCAGUGGGGAAAACCUGAAUUCGCCAGCUUAUGUGGAAAGACCCUUUGUUUUUAAUGAAUCAUUCAAUCCCGAAUAAUGUAAAGAUGUGAAGGGAACGAGUCAGUCAGGGUGAGGACCUCCGACGAGAAAAUGGACAUAUAGCGGAAGACGAUUGGCGUCGGUGUAAUAAACAAGCGACUGUCGUGGUCGUCGAUAUACAGGACACGCAAGCAGGAAUGGACUAAUUGUGAACGGGAUGUCGCAGCGGCGGCGACGGAGGAGCGCGUUCGAAGAGGUGGCGACGGGUGCUCUUGGUGUGACAUAUGCGUGGUCAGACCGGCAGUACUUCUUUGAGGCGGUUACCUUGGUGGGUUGUGCACGUGCUGUAGCGUAGGUUCGAUCAGCUGGAGGUGCUGAUGGGUGCGUGGGCCCCAGUCACGCGGGAGAUAGGAAUGAAAGUAUGAAGAGAUGCUGACUGUUUUCUGGUAACGUGAGACUUUGUGUCGCUUUCUCGUCGGCAGUGUCGUUUCCAUGUAUACUGGUGUAUCCAGGUUUCCGGAAUAAUAUUGCAUAAAUCUGUUGAGGAAAGUACCGGCACGUUCUACGUACAUCGUACAUAAUUGGAUGAAAUGGACUGUGUAGUGGUGAGAGCUUGUAGCGAGGAUGAAAUUCCGUACAUAUAACUGGACGUUGAA